AUAUUGGUCAAUGGGCGCAAGCCUGACCCAGCCACGCCUCGUGAGUGAUGAAGGCCUUNGGGUUGNANAGCUCUGUGGGGAGGGGNAAAAAACUUGGGUUCGAAUAGUGCUCGAGGUUGACGGUACCUCCUUAGCACUCACCGGCUAACUCUUUCCCAGCAGCCGCGGUAAGACAGAGCGUGCAAACGUUGCCCGGAAUCACUGGGGGUAAAGGGCGCGUAGGCGGAUCGGGAAGUCGUGUGUGAAAUCCCUGGGCUCAACCUAGGAACUGCAUUCGAAGCUCCCGGUCUAGAGUGACGGAGAGGAAAGCGGAAUUCCCGGUGUAGAGGUGAAAUUCGUAGAGAUUGGGAGGAACACCAGUGGCGAAGGCGACUUGCUGGGCCGUAACUGACGCUGAGGCGCGAAAGCGUGGGGAGCGAACAGG
RNAcentral lists this ribosomal RNA (424 nucleotides) under uncultured bacterium. RNAcentral's name for it is "partial 16S ribosomal RNA". It matches the Rfam family "Bacterial small subunit ribosomal RNA", at positions 361 to 776 of the family's 1533-position model. The record is from RNAcentral.